This 253-nucleotide ribosomal RNA is filed under the name uncultured bacterium. RNAcentral describes it as "partial 16S ribosomal RNA". It matches the Rfam family "Bacterial small subunit ribosomal RNA", at positions 524 to 776 of the family's 1533-position model. The record is from RNAcentral.
UACGGAGGGUGCGAGCGUUGUCCGGAAUCACUGGGCGUAAAGGGCGCGUAGGCGGCCUGAUAAGUAGGGGGUGAAAUCCUGCGGCUUAACCGCAGGGCUGCCUUCUAAACUGUCAGGCUAGAGUACGGUAGAGGCAGAUGGAAUUCCCGGUGUAGCGGUGGAAUGCGUAGAGAUCGGGAAGAACAUCAGUGGCGAAGGCGGUCUGCUGGGCCGUUGCUGACGCUGAGGCGCGACAGCGUGGGGAGCAAACAGG